This 277-nucleotide ribosomal RNA is filed under the name uncultured eukaryote. RNAcentral's name for it is "partial 18S ribosomal RNA". It matches the Rfam family "Eukaryotic small subunit ribosomal RNA", at positions 21 to 299 of the family's 1831-position model. The record is from RNAcentral.
UAGUCAUAUGCUUGUCUCAAAGAUUAAGCCAUGCAUGUCUAAGUAUAAACAUUUUAUACUGUGAAACUGCGAAUGGCUCAUUAAAUCAGUUAUAGUUUAUUUGAUAGUACCUUACUACUUGGAUAACCGUGGUAAUUCUAGAGCUAAUACAUGCUAAAAAACCCGACUUCUUGGAAGGGUUGUAUUUAUUAGAUAAAAAACCAAUCUGCGCAAGCAGUUUUAGGUGAUUCAUAAUAACUUUUCGAAUCGUAUGACUUUACGUCGACGAUGGUUCAUU